This 547-nucleotide transfer RNA is filed under the name uncultured Prochlorococcus sp. RNAcentral's name for it is "partial 16S-23S ribosomal RNA intergenic spacer". The stretch from base 211 to 283 matches the Rfam family "tRNA". Lineage: Bacteria; Bacillati; Cyanobacteriota; Cyanophyceae; Synechococcales; Prochlorococcaceae. The record is from RNAcentral.
CAGGGAGACAACAAAAUGUUUAAUAUUAAUUUUGUCACCUUAGGUCGAUCGGUAUCUCACAUUCUUAAUUUAUUAAGGAUUUUAUUUCCUAAGUUUUUUCUAGGUCACACCCAUUACUUUUCCUGGGCCAUUAGCUCAGGUGGUUAGAGCGCACCCCUGAUAAGGGUGAGGUCCCUGGUUCAAGUCCAGGAUGGCCCAUAUCUCUAUAAUGGGGGUAUAGCUCAGUUGGUAGAGCGCCUGCUUUGCAAGCAGGAUGUCAGCGGUUCGAGUCCGCUUACCUCCACUGAUUACCACCUCUUCAUUAUGUAUUUAGUAUUUAAGGGAAAAGUUUUGAGAUGUGAUCAAAUUCUGAACGAAUCUAGCUUCCUAAUUUAAACAUUAAGAUGCUGGACUCAUUGAAUUAAUUUCAUUGUUUUCAGAGAACCUUGACAACUGCAUAGAUUAUUUUAAAGACAAUUAAGCAUCUUAAAUGAUGCAGAUUUAUUAUUUGUGCGAAAGCAUCAAUAACAAUUCUAUUAAGCUGAUGCUUCAAUUUUUUGAAGUUAUU